Molecule: long non-coding RNA, 1591 nt
Organism: Equus caballus (horse)
Lineage: Eukaryota; Metazoa; Chordata; Mammalia; Perissodactyla; Equidae
Source: Ensembl
CCAGAAUGCAGUCCUGGGUAAUAAGUCUUGAAUUAAUGGAAAAGCUUACUGACUGCCAAAGGUUCAAGCUCCUCUUCCUAAGUGCAAAGUGCUUGCUGGGAAGUGGCUGCCCAGCCAGAGACUGUAUUUCCUAGUCUCCUUACAUCUAUGAGUGAGGCAGCACGUGACUACUUCUGACCAAUAGAAUGUAUGUAGACAUUUUGAUUGGUACUUGUGUGUGAAGUUGGGUACGUGUCUGAUAUAUGUUUUCCAAAAUGUUCCCACCUUCUCUAUUGACCUUGGAGGCCGUGUUUUGAAACUGGCAGCAUCACAAGAUGGAAGAAUCUGUGAUUACUGAAUCAUGGAGACAGUCAGGAGAGCUGUCCAACUGAACACCUGCAUUGGAUUUUGUUCCCAAGAAGAUGGACACUCUAAGCCACCCAGGGCCACAUGGAGAAGCACCAGGGUUGUGGGUGCCCUUUUAAAGAGCCCUGCUGUCUCCUAAGAUGAUGAAGGCUGCCAUGGUAGACAGAAUAGUGCCCCGCCCCCACCAAAGAUGUCUACAUCCUAGUCCCUGGAACCUGUGAGUAUGUUACCUUACGUGGCAAAAGAGACUUUGCAGAUGUGUUUAAGGGGACAGACCUUGAGAUGGGGAGACUAUCUUGAUUUUCUGAGUCCAAUGUAAUCACAAGGGUCCUUAUAAGAGGGAGACAGCAGGCUCAGACUAAAAAGAGAAGGAAAAGUGACUCUGGAAACAGAGGGAGAGGGAGGGGGUGAGGGAGGAGAGAAAGGGAGAUUUUUGAAGAUGCUAGAUUGCUGGCUUUGAAAAUGGAGAAAGAGGCCACUCCUGCGAGCAAUGUAGAUAGCUUCCAAAAACUGAAAAAGGCGACAAAACAGAUUUUCCCCUGGAGCUGUCAGAAGCGACACAGCCCCAACACCACCUCGACUUUAGCCCAGGACUUGAGGCCUCCAGAGCUGUAAGAAUAAUGAGUUUGUAUUGUUUUAAGCCACUGUGUUUGUGGUCAUUUUGUACGGCAGUAAUGAGGAGCUAUUACAGUGUCGAUAAUUCAUUCUUUGCCACUGUGGUUGAAAUGGUCCCUUCAUCAGUCUAGAGUAUUAAAAAAGCUAACACAGUUAAAAAAAAAUUAACUGAAAGUUAAAGCCUUCACUUUCUUUCCUUUCAGGCUUUCUUCUUUUCUUUGUGUUGAUGCCGAAUUCUAGGAACCAACCUAGAACGAAGAGAUUUUAAAGUUUGGGCUCAAGUGACAAGGAAGAACAAAUCUAAUUUUAUAUUUUCACUAACAUCUCCCCUUGUCUUAAAUGUCUACCCCGGGCCUUCAUCUAGGCAAAAGUAAACAAAGAUACAAAGAAAUAAAAGCUUUAACAAUUUUAAAGAAAUUUAUUGAAACAUUCUGUCUUCUAGGCACUGUGCCAGGCGCUGAAAAUAUAAAAAUGAAUUAAAUCUAGUCCCUGUUCUAGAGAACUCCCAGUUUCGUGGUGGAAUAAAGCACAUCGCCACUGUUAAGUACAUAAUCACUCAGUUGAUAUCUGAGCUCCUACUUUGUGCAAGUUUCUGUAGUUUCAGAACUGAACACAACAGACAUGGAGCCUG